UAAGCUCCUUUCCCAGAGAUAUUCUGGGCUCAAAGGAAUACAUUUGGGGAAUGGAACCUACACCUCAAAAGACCCAAGAGUUGGUCAUUGAUGUGGUUAGCAUUUCCAAUCACCUCCAUUUGUGAGAUAUGGGGACUAUGGUGCUGUGUCCCUAGCCAUCCCUUGGCCUUGGAGUCCUUCGAACUCAUUGAGCUGGAAAUAGAAGGCUUCAGAGAAUGGCACUGGGAAUGGAGCAGCUCUUCCCUUUUGCUUGAUAGAAGCUGCCUGCUCCUUCAGUGCUUCCAGAUACCAAGGUCUCUCUGCCCUCCCUUGGAAUUUAAGGACACGGGGUCUACUUCCUGGUGAAGGAAUCACAAAUUUUCACUGCUGUAUUUCCAAACUCUGGGGGGUCAGAAUGAAAACUUCUAGGUGUAUCCUAAGGUAGGAAUCUUGCCAGGAAGAAAGACUCACAAACUUUGUCACAAUUGGCUGAGUAAGAGGUAAUCUGGUCACAGGUAAUCAAUGAAAAAGGAAGAGAAACACUCGUACGAAGCCCUUCGCCUACAAAGUCCACAGGGAGAUGGCCUGUGAUCAACAGCGCGGAAGUGAGCUAAGAGGUCCUGAAGGAGCACAACUGUACCCUUUUCAUAGUGCAAAUUCUGAACCAGUUCAAAGAGAAGGUGUAGAAGCAAGGCAGACAGGGAUAACAACACUACCUGCAUCACUGAAAAUCCUUGGAAAUGCAAAACGGUUCAUGCCUGUGGAAUCCCAAACAUUUGACAAUCUGCAUGACAAUCCAUGGUCACCAGCUCAUCACAGCAGAAGCCAAAGUAACCUAAACAAACGCUUGGCCAGUCUGAACGGAUCCCGGCAGCGCUGAGACCUAGCCCUCUCCUUGAACAUCUGAAAACCUAGAGGGAAGGACAACCCUGGGUGUUGAGGCAUUGAGAUGAUGAUACAUUAUUAAAAUGUCACGGAUUUGAAAGCCCUAGGCAGAGAUGCUGCCUUCUGGUUACAAUGUAUCCCCAAUACCGCCUUGAAAAUGAGGCUCCUCCCUGGGCCCCACUAGCACAGGUUGUUGCCUCAUUCACUGCUCGCUGAACAAGCCUUUAGUUCUCUGCCGUGGUUUUCUGACACUGAGCCUUUUCACGUCUGCUGAGCUGCCUGUUCUCCCAGACAGAUGUUUUAAAGGAGACAGAGUCAUAACUGGGUAUCCUCAUUCCCUAUGACUGCUUAAUAAAGCUCCACAAACUGCUGGCUUAAAACAAGACAAAAUGUCUUACAUCUCCCGAGGCUGAACACAUGGUGUCAAGAUGCUGGCUGGGCCGUGCCCACUCCUCAGCUUUCGACAGUGGGCCCUUGCUGAAGUCCUCCAACUUCUGGAGCCCUAGGCAUUCCCAAACUGUUUGAAACCCAGCUCCCAUCUCUGCCUCCAUUUUUGUUUAUCCUUCCUCCCAAGACUGCAUCUUCCUUCUGAAUCUGUUUUUACAGGACAGUCGCCUCCCUAGAUCAACCCAUAAUAGAUAGGAUCGCCUCCAUCUUUGUGAUGCCAUUUUUAGCUCCAUUCUGUCUGCAAAGACCCUACUUGCAGAGAAGCACUCUUGCCUAGGUGCCUUGAGGACAACAGAGCUGUUGGGGAGACAUGGUUGAACCCACAGCGGUGAGGAGGCUGCCCCACUGACUCA
This 1664-nucleotide small RNA is filed under the name Rattus norvegicus (Norway rat). RNAcentral describes it as "uncharacterized LOC108350412". The record is from RNAcentral. Lineage: Eukaryota; Metazoa; Chordata; Mammalia; Rodentia; Muridae.